GCCCCCCUCCCCGGGGGGUGGCCAGCGCCCGCCAGAGGACCAUCAAACUCCAGUCAGUAAACGAUGCAGUCUGAAAAACAUUUAAUAAACUAAAACUUUCAACAACGGAUCUCUUGGUUCUGGCAUCGAUGAAGAACGCAGCGAAAUGCGAUAAGUAAUGUGAAUUGCAGAAUUCAGUGAAUCAUCGAAUCUUUGAACGCACAUUGCGCCCUUUGGUAUUCCGAAGGGCAUGCCUGUUCGAGCGUCAUUACAACCCUCAAGCUCUGCUUGGUAUUGGGCACCGUCCUUUGCGGGCGCGCCUCAAAGACCUCGGCGGUGGCGUCUUGCCUCAAGCGUAGUAGAACAUACAUCUCGCUUCGGAGCGCAGGGCGUCGCCCGCCGGACGAACCUUCUGAACUUUUCUCAAGGUUGACCUCGGAUCAGGUAGGGAUACCCGCUGAACUUAAGCAUAUCAAUAAGCGGAGGAA
This 467-nucleotide ribosomal RNA is filed under the name Botryosphaeria dothidea. RNAcentral's name for it is "eukaryotic LSU rRNA". The stretch from base 94 to 247 matches the Rfam family "5.8S ribosomal RNA". The record is from RNAcentral. Lineage: Eukaryota; Fungi; Ascomycota; Dothideomycetes; Botryosphaeriales; Botryosphaeriaceae.